Molecule: small nuclear RNA, 180 nt
Filed under: Zea mays
Lineage: Eukaryota; Viridiplantae; Streptophyta; Magnoliopsida; Poales; Poaceae
Description: U2 spliceosomal RNA
Rfam family: U2 spliceosomal RNA
About the family: U2 is a small nuclear RNA (snRNA) component of the spliceosome (involved in pre-mRNA splicing). Complementary binding between U2 snRNA (in an area lying towards the 5' end but 3' to hairpin I) and the branchpoint sequence (BPS) of the intron results the bulging out of an unpaired adenosine, on the BPS, which initiates a nucleophilic attack at the intronic 5' splice site, thus starting the first of two transesterification reactions that mediate splicing.
Source: Rfam by way of RNAcentral
AUACAUUUCUCAGCUUUUUGUCAAGAUAAAGUGUAGUACAAUUUAAUAUUUAGUAUGUGAAUCAUAUGUCCACUUUUAUAUUAAAUUUAUUUUAUGGAAAGGGUCUACACAUUGGCAUGCCACUGCGUCCUCGUGUGUCAUCAAGCUAUUGUACUGCUGGUAUGGCCUGACUCACCCCAA